CGUUGCGUUCUGCAUCCAGUCCUUGCUGCUCCGAGAGGCCCCAGGUGCCUCCGCCACGGCUCCUGUGACGCUGUCACCUGCGCUGUGACCUGCUCCGGAGUCAUAAAGAGGACGCCGGGACACCAAGAAGCAGGGAAAUGGACCCAGUGGCCUUUGAGGAUGUGGCUGUGAACUUCACCCAGGAGGAGUGGGCCUUGUUGAAUCCUUUCCAGAAGAUCUCUACAGAGAUGUGAUGCAGGAAACCUUCACGAACCUCAUCUGUAUAGGGACGUGGUUACAGAAUGCCCUCGUUUUUGUCCUGCUCCAUCAUGGUCACUGAGGAGCACUGCUUCACACUGCAGGUGUCUGACAUGGCUUAAGAUUUGGCCUUGUGGUGAGGGGAGGCAGCUCCCAGACUUGUGGACCUGUUUUUGCUUUACUUAUUCUCCAAAACCUAAGAUAUUUCUUAGAGUGUAUGAACACUGUUCCACAAAAUGCUCCAGUUAAAAAUAUAUAAAAUCACUUACUCCUUA
Molecule: long non-coding RNA, 512 nt
Filed under: Homo sapiens (human)
Lineage: Eukaryota; Metazoa; Chordata; Mammalia; Primates; Hominidae
Description: non-protein coding lnc-ZNF491-1:2
Source: RNAcentral